GAUGAACGCUAGCUACAGGCUUAACACAUGCAAGUCGCGGGGCAGCAUGGGGGUUGCUUGCAAUCCCCGAUGGCGACCGGCGCACGGGUGAGUAACGCGUAUCAAACCUGCCCUUCACCACGGGAUAACCCGGCGAAAGUCGGACUAAUACCGUAUGUUGUCCAUUGACGGCAUCCGAUUUGGACGAAAGGUUUGGCGGUGAAGGAUGGGGAUGCGUCCGAUUAGCUGGACGGCGGGGUGACGGCCCACCGUGGCGACGAUCGGUAGGGGUUCUGAGAGGAAGGUCCCCCACACUGGAACUGAGACACGGUCCAGACUCCUACGGGAGGCAGCAGUGAGGAAUAUUGGUCAAUGGGCGUAAGCCUGAACCAGCCAAGUAGCGUGCAGGAUGACGGCCCUAUGGGUUGUAAACUGCUUUUAUGCGGGGAUAAAGUGGCCCACGUGUGGGUUUUUGCAGGUACCGCAUGAAUAAGGACCGGCUAAUUCCGUG
Molecule: ribosomal RNA, 490 nt
Filed under: uncultured bacterium
Lineage: Bacteria
Description: partial 16S ribosomal RNA
Rfam family: Bacterial small subunit ribosomal RNA
Source: RNAcentral